This 430-nucleotide long non-coding RNA is filed under the name Phoenix dactylifera (date palm). RNAcentral describes it as "long non-coding RNA (PDAC_LNC011949)". Lineage: Eukaryota; Viridiplantae; Streptophyta; Magnoliopsida; Arecales; Arecaceae. The record is from RNAcentral.
CUUAAUCUGUUCUAAGGUCUUUUAGAACAAAUGUACCUCCCACUAUUUUCUCGAAUCCCUUACACUCCCCUGGUACGAAAACGGAAAUCCUACACGACUAGGGUUUCUAGUGGGUACGGCGGUCCCACCGAUUUACAUGCCACCACACCUAACAGUUAUUGGUGACACAUAAACAGAUGAGUGUACAACUCUUGUACAAUAUUUCUUAAGCAUGUUGCAGUGCUACUUGGUCUCUAAGUCAUGAAGACCUCACCUAACAGUUAUUGGUCCCAUUUCUUAGUUAAGUCAGACCCACCGUAUAACCGUAGAAAUAAAGUCGUCAUUGGGUCCUCACCUAACAGUUAAUGGUGCCUAACCCCACCUUUACCCUACAACAUCUCAUGUCUAUAGAGAGGUCCAGUCCCCCGAUGCAACUUGCCCACUGUAUCCA